GAGAGAUAAAGAUAAACUAAUAUCAACAAUUGAAUGAGACAUAUGAUAAACAUGAUAACAGAUUAAAAGAAAUGGAGACAGAGAAGGAGACAUAUUAUACAGAGAUACUCUGUCUACAAGAACUACUGGAACACAUGGAGUCAGAGAUGAAUAAAGAUGUACCCCAAUCAAAGAAACAACUGAGGAGUAUAUAUGAUAAAGAGAACUAUUAGUGAGAUGGUGUCAAAGUGUAAGGGACUUUAUUCAGAGAGAGAUAAAGUAAUAAAGAUACUUGGAUUCUGGAAAGGGAAUGAUAAGAUGUAUUCUAGUGAUAACUGUAGAGCCCAACAAUAUUUGUCAUUGUCACAAGGAGUAGCAAUAUCAGCACUAGAACAAAUCAACUGUUGAUAUGAGGAAAGUAAAGAAAUUAAGGAAUUGAGAGAAGAGAUGACAACUAUCACUCAGAAAUACAGUGAAAGAAUGCGAAGUAGAGGAAACUAUCAUUUGAGCAGAAGUAGAAUGAAUUGGAUUAGUUGUAGUGGAAGUAUUAUGAUAGCCAUUUAGCCUCUCAUUAUGGUCUUUCACCUUUUGAAGUUAUCACCUUCAAAGACUGAAAUCCAAUGCUCAUUGUAGCUUUAUUGUCUUAAUUCUCACAUUUUGGUGUAUAAUUCAGGCCAUUUCCACUGACUAAAUUCAUAGGCUGAGAAACGACCUGGCCUCUAAACAAUACAUUUAGUUAUGCUAUAGCUGUGUAGAUUUAUUUAUUUUGUUAAUAUUGUUAGACAUUGUUAUACAUACAAUAA
This 782-nucleotide long non-coding RNA is filed under the name Amphimedon queenslandica. RNAcentral's name for it is "uncharacterized LOC109586530, transcript variant X2". The record is from RNAcentral. Lineage: Eukaryota; Metazoa; Porifera; Demospongiae; Haplosclerida; Niphatidae.